RNAcentral lists this ribosomal RNA (468 nucleotides) under uncultured bacterium. RNAcentral's name for it is "partial 16S ribosomal RNA". It matches the Rfam family "Bacterial small subunit ribosomal RNA", at positions 28 to 507 of the family's 1533-position model. The record is from RNAcentral.
GACGAACGCUGGCGGCGUGCUUAACACAUGCAAGUCGAACGGAAAGGCCCUGCUUUUGUGGGGUGCUCGAGUGGCGAACGGGUGAGUAACACGUGAGUAACCUGCCCUUGACUUUGGGAUAACUUCAGGAAACUGGGGCUAAUACCCGAUAGGAGCUCCUGCUGCAUGGUGGGGGUUGGAAAGUUUCGGCGGUUGGGGAUGGACUCGCGGCUUAUCAGCUUGUUGGUGGGGUAGUGGCUUACCAAGGCUUUGACGGGUAGCCGGCCUGAGAGGGUGACCGGCCACAUUGGGACUGAGAUACGGCCCAGACUCCUACGGGAGGCAGCAGUGGGGAAUAUUGCACCAUGGGCCGAAGCCUUAUGCAGCAACGCCGCGUGCGGGAUGACGGCCUUCGGGUUGUAAACCGCUUUCGCCUGUGACGAAGCGUGAGUGACGGUAAUGGGUAAAGAAGCACCGGCUAACUACGUG